RNAcentral lists this ribosomal RNA (440 nucleotides) under uncultured bacterium. RNAcentral's name for it is "partial 16S ribosomal RNA". It matches the Rfam family "Bacterial small subunit ribosomal RNA", at positions 338 to 795 of the family's 1533-position model. The record is from RNAcentral.
CCUACGGGAGGCAGCAGUGGGGAAUAUUGGACAAUGGGGGAAAGCCUGAUGCAGCGACGCCGCGUGAGGGAAGAAGUAUCUCGGUACGUAAAGCUCUAUCAGCAGGGAAGAAAAGGACGGUACCUGAAUAAGAAGCCCCGGCUAACUACGUGCCAGCAGCCGCGGUAAAAAGUAGGGGGCAAGGGUUAUCCGGAUUUACUGGGUGUAAAGGGAGCGAAGACGGCAGCACACGUCUGGAGUGAAAUCCCGGGGUUUAACCCCGGAACUGCUUUGGAAACUGUGCGGCUGGAGUGCAGGAGGGGUAAGCGGAAUGCGUGGUGUAGCGGUGAAAUGCGUAGAUAUUAGGAGGAACACCGGUGGCGAAGGCAGCUUACUGGACUGUAACUGACGUUGAGGCUCGAAAGCGUGGGGAGCAAACAGGAUUAGAUACCCGUGUAGUC